RNAcentral lists this ribosomal RNA (515 nucleotides) under uncultured bacterium. RNAcentral describes it as "partial 16S ribosomal RNA". It matches the Rfam family "Bacterial small subunit ribosomal RNA", at positions 28 to 523 of the family's 1533-position model. The record is from RNAcentral.
GAUGAACGCUGGCGGCGUGCCUAAUACAUGCAAGUCGAGCGAAUGGAUUAAGAGCUUGCUCUUAUGAAGUUAGCGGCGGACGGGUGAGUAACACGUGGGUAACCUGCCCAUAAGACUGGGAUAACUCCGGGAAACCGGGGCUAAUACCGGAUAACAUUUUGAACCGCAUGGUUCGAAAUUGAAAGGCGGCUUCGGCUGUCACUUAUGGAUGGACCCGCGUCGCAUUAGCUAGUUGGUGAGGUAACAGCUCACCAAGGCAACGAUGCGUAGCCAACCUUAGAGGGGGAGCGGCCACGCUGGGGCUGGAGCACGGCCCAGACUCCUAAGGGAGGCAGCAGUAGGGAAUCUUACGGAAUGGACGAAAGUCUGACGGAGCAACGCAGGGUGAGUGAUGAAGGCUUUCGGGUCGUAAAACUCUGUUGUUAGGGAAGAACAAGUGCUAGUUGAAUAAGCUGGCACCUUGACGGUACCUAACCAGAAAGCCACGGCUAACUACGUGCCAGCCGCCGCGGUAA